UAAUUAAUUUUUUUAAUAUAUUAUAUAUAUUUAUUAUUAAAAAAUAAGUUUUAUUAAUAAUUAAAUCUAUUUAAUAAUGAGAGUUAUAAUUGGGAAUUAAGUUAAAUAAAGGUUAAAAUAUAUUAGUGCCAGCUACAGCGGUUAAACAUAUUUUAUAAUUUAAUUAUUUUAAUAUUAAAGUAUUUUAUUAUUUUUAAAUUUAAUUAUUUGUAAUUAAUAUUUUAUAGUGAAAUUAUAAAUAUUAAUUAAAUAUUAAUUUUUAUAUAUGAAAGUACUUAUAAAUUAAAUUUAAAGACUAGGAUUAGAUACCCUAUUAUGUAUAUUAGAUAAAAUAUUAAAUAUUAAAUGUUUUAAUCAUUAAAAUUAAAAUAUAUGGCGGCUUUUUAUAUCUAUUUAGAGAAACUUGUAUAUUAAAUGAUAAUACACGAUAGGAUUUACUUAAAUUUUAUAAUUUGUAUAUUGUUGUUUUCAAAUAUUUUUAAAAAUAAAAAUAUUAAUAUAUUAAUAAUUAAAUAAAAAUUCAAAUCAAAAUGUAGUAUAUUUAAGAUUAUAUGAGUUAUAAUAGUAUAAAAUUUUUGAUUAAUAAUUUUAAUUUAUUAUGAAAGAGGAUUUAAAAGUAAUAUUAAUUAAUUAAUUAAUUUGAAGAUAGUUUUAAUUAGUGUACAAAUCGCCCGUCAAUUUUAUUUUUUAAUAAAAUAAGUCGUAACAUAGUAAAUAUACUGGAAAGUGUAUUUAGAAUAAUUUUAUAUUAAAU
This 754-nucleotide non-coding RNA is filed under the name Ceratina okinawana. Lineage: Eukaryota; Metazoa; Arthropoda; Insecta; Hymenoptera; Apidae. The record is from RNAcentral.